UAACUUUCCCUUUCGGGCCAGCCGCCUCG
RNAcentral lists this small RNA (29 nucleotides) under Bombyx mori (domestic silkworm). Its description in RNAcentral is "ovarian small RNA-19078". Lineage: Eukaryota; Metazoa; Arthropoda; Insecta; Lepidoptera; Bombycidae. The record is from RNAcentral.